Molecule: ribosomal RNA, 1433 nt
Filed under: Flavobacterium silvaticum
Lineage: Bacteria; Pseudomonadati; Bacteroidota; Flavobacteriia; Flavobacteriales; Flavobacteriaceae
Description: Flavobacterium sp. SE-s28 partial 23S ribosomal RNA
Rfam family: Bacterial large subunit ribosomal RNA
Source: RNAcentral
GUACAAUAAGCAAAAUAAGGGCGUAUGGGGGAUGCCUAGGCUCUUGCAGGCGAGGAAGGACGUGAUAAGCUGCGAUAAGCUUCGGGGAGCGGCACACACGCUUUGAUCCGAAGAUUUCCGAAUGGGGCAACCCAAUACAUUGAAGAUGUAUUACCCGAUAGGGGGCGAACGCGCUGAACUGAAACAUCUAAGUAGGCGCAGGAGAAGAAAACAAAAGUGAUUCCGUAAGUAGUGGCGAGCGAACGCGGAUUAGCCCAAACCAGUUAUGUUACGGCAUAGUUGGGGUUGUAGGGCCACGACAUUGUAUGUAAAGUGAACCGGAAGGACCUGGAAAGGUCCGCCACAGAGGGUGAUAGCCCCGUAUGGGUAAGCGAUAUAAUACAUAGUGGUACCCUGAGUAGGGCGGGGCACGUGAAACCCUGUCUGAAUCCGCCGGGACCAUCCGGUAAGGCUAAAUACUCGCAAGAGACCGAUAGUGAACCAGUACCGUGAGGGAAAGGUGAAAAGAACCGUGAAUAACGGAGUGAAACAGAUCCUGAAACCAUACGCCUACAAGCGGUCGGAGCCCUUUCGUGGGGUGACGGCGUGCCUUUUGCAUAAUGAGCCUACGAGUUACCGUUGCCGGCAAGGAUAAGCUAUUAAGUAGUGGAUCCGUAGCGAAAGCGAGUCUGAACAGGGCGCUAUAGUCGGUAAUGGUAGACGCGAAACCGUGUGAUCUACCCAUGGGCAGGAUGAAGCUGUGGUAACACACAGUGGAGGUCCGAACCGGUUGACGUUGAAAAGUCUUCGGAUGACCUGUGGGUAGGGGUGAAAGGCCAAUCAAACUCGGAAAUAGCUCGUACUCCCCGAAAUGCAUUUAGGUGCAGCGCUGAGCGUAAAGUUAUAUAGAGGUAGAGCUACUGAUUGGAUGCGGGGGCUUCACCGCCUACCAAUUCCUGACAAACUCCGAAUGCUAUAUAAUGUUUCUCAGCAGUGAGGGCUUGGGUGCUAAGGUCCAAGUCCGAGAGGGAAAGAACCCAGACCAUCAGCUAAGGUCCCCAAAUGUAUGCUAAGUUGAAAGAACGAGGUCCGAUUGCACAGACAGCUAGGAUGUUGGCUUGGAAGCAGCCAUUCAUUUAAAGAGUGCGUAACAGCUCACUAGUCGAGCGAUCGGGCAUGGAUAAUAAUCGGGCAUAAGCAUACUACCGAAGCUAUGGAUUGAUAGUGAUAUCAGUGGUAGGGGAGCAUUCUGACAGGGUUGAAGGUGUGUCGUGAGGCAUGCUGGACCGGUCAGAAAAGAAAAUGUAGGCAUAAGUAACGAUAAUGCGGGCGAGAAACCCGCACACCGAAAGACUAAGGUUUCCUCAGCUAUGCUAAUCAGCUGAGGGUUAGUCGGGUCCUAAGGCGAACCCGAAAGGGACAGUCGAUGGCCAACGGGUUAAUAUUCCCGUACU